This is a ribosomal RNA of Myotis lucifugus (little brown bat), 110 nucleotides long. The record is from Ensembl. Lineage: Eukaryota; Metazoa; Chordata; Mammalia; Chiroptera; Vespertilionidae.
GUCUAUGGCCAUACCACCCUGAAUAUGCCCAAUCUCGUCUGAUCUGGGAAGCUAAGAGAGUCGGACCUGGUUAGUAUUUGGAUGGGAGAAUAUUUGCAGUACUAUUCAAA